AAGUAAAUGUAUGGCAAGUUUCAAACAGCCAGCACACAUUACUAAUUGACAGUUACUUAGUGAUUUACAGGAGACAUCUUGUUAGCUUUGGUACAGAGCCAAACGGUACCCACAUCACUGAAACAAUCUCAGCUGGCUUUUGGACAUGGCUAUCAGACUCUCUUUCCUACUGUCCCCAAUUUAGGAAAGCAUCAUUAUUCAUCAAAGUACUUAGGCCACACACUUAAUUUUAAGCAUGUGCUUUCCUCAGAAAAGAUGUGCUUAAACAUGUGCUAGGGAUUUAAAGAUGUGCUAGUGCUAUUUGUGGAAUUGCUCCUUCCAGGAAUGGCAUGCAUAUGAAGGCAAUAUGGGAAGCUUUGACUGCCAAGAUGAAGUCUUGGUAGCUCGGGGUGAGCUACGGAUUUGAGUCCUCAGACCAGCUAAAAUGACACCUCGCAGAAGCACUUUAAAGAAAGGAACUGAUACCUGAAGAUAGCAUUCAUUAGUAACGAGACAUUGUGUUCAGUCAGAUAGUUGAAAUGCUUUCAGUAAUUUUGCCAAAAGAAUACAAACAUUGAUCCACGUGAUUAAGUCUGAAGUGAGGGUGGCAGUGGGAACCAAAGCGUAUGUAGGAUGAAGCAGUGAGUACUUUUAAAUAUUGUCAUCCCUUUAGAGAAUGAGAGAAUGUGUAGGCUUGCCAUUAUGAUAUGGAGAAGAGGUAAGUUGAGCUAGUCAGGAAUGCCACUCAAACAGAGGAAAUGACAUCUAAUACUUUAUAUUGUUUAGCAGAUACACAUUGAUAUGUAUCUCCUGGGAACUGAUCUUCCAGUGUUGCUACUCCAGUCUGUGAUUGCCUAGCAGCAAGAAUGAAGAAUGUAUUUAAGUAUAAUUAAAAAAAAAAGCAAAAAUUCAAAACUCCAUUUCAACUUAUUGUGUUUCCUGUUGUCCAACACCUUUCCUGAGGCUAGUAAUAAACCAGGAAUUGACGCUGCUGUAUUUGACUUGAAAGGGACGCAGACACAAGCAGACCAAUGAAAGCAGAGGAGAAGCUAUCGUCACUGGAGGAGAGAGAAAAGCCCUGCCUGAAGCCCUGUCGGCAGAGAGGAAGCAGCUGAAGGUUUGUCAGAAGCAGAGAUGCUGUCCCCUUGGCAUUUCUGCCAGUUCUACAGAGGUUUAACUCAGCACUUCCUCCCCUUCAGCUGCCCUUGGCCACUCCUGGCCGACCACCUUGGAAGAUUGUUUUGCUUCCCUCGGCUGCUCUCUGCAAACUGCAGACAGCAGAGUCUGUUUUUUUGCCAGGGAAUACGACUCACAUGAGCAGAAAAAUUGAGCCCUGUGCCAUUAUUGCUUCCUGCCAGAACCUCAGUUGCAAAUACUGCUCCCUCUGCUGUGAUUUUAGGUAAUCAUAGCAGGAGAGUCGAGCAAGAGCUCCUUUCUACUACUAUUAUUUAAGGGUUGGAACUAGAUAAUCUUUAAGCUCUCUUCCAACUCAAGCCCUUCUAUGAUUCUACUUUUCUCAUAUAAGAUGAUAUUACUAAAAACAACUGCAUGUAAAAGCCCUGACUAAGGACAGUCUGCAUUGUGCUAGGAGGCAUAAAAUAAAACAGUACUUA
Molecule: non-coding RNA, 1592 nt
Organism: Meleagris gallopavo (turkey)
Lineage: Eukaryota; Metazoa; Chordata; Aves; Galliformes; Phasianidae
Source: RefSeq, a predicted model, not a curated record